CUCACGCGCAGUCUGGCGUUGUCGGCCGACGGGUGUGCAUCUAAAACUUAUUGAAUUGAAGUUUUAUUUUAUUUCGUCGUCUUUACGGCCGUUUAAAUCGUGAUAUCGUUAGUUCAUUUUUUUGUUGUUUGCAAGGACCGUCCUUUGAGUGUUGUAGUUGAGUUCGUAGUAGUAUAUAUUAACAGGAAGAGGAACUGAUUACGCCGGUCGAUGAGCUGCCGUUACUCGUGCUGUGGAGAUCCUCGCAUAGGAUAAUAGCUGGCUGAUGCGACGUGCAAUAAGAUGAGGGGACACGUAUCAACGCGUGACUUCCUUUCGACCAUAAUCCAUAUGGAUGGAACAAGGCAGAAGGACUGAGAGAACAAACCCAAGUCGAACAACGUCGUUCCCCUGGUCCACGUCUCGUUUCGUCAUCGAAUCGUUUUCGUUGACCAGGGACAGGAUUGAUCUUUCUGCGAACAAGUUCACUCGAAAUUCGUGGGUAAUCGGUGUCGGCGGCGAGGAUGGCGAGGAGCAGCGUCACUGCGAACGCAUACCGGCGAUGCACCGAUUGCACCGUCGUCGUUCAUCGCGAUGCCAUUGUCGCAGUUCGUAGUACGUCCCCUCGCGAAUCACGAUCGAUCGGAAUCGGGUACGGUAGAAACGGCCACGGCACUGGUACCUCUGGCAACACCAGCUACUCUACCAAUUUCGAUCAGGGAGAAGGGCACGGCCGAUUAGAGUCGCUCCUUUCUAUAUAACUGCCGAGCAGCACGUGAUUCACAAAUCAAGAGGAGAACGAGUGCAUCUCGCAGAAUGGAUUUGUGCGGGGUCUACUUGUCUCAACUGCGAGCGAUGCUCGUGAGGAAUCUUCUGCUGAAGAAGCGCGACAAGCGGAAGACUACAGCGGAGAUUUUUCUACCCCUUUGUAUCCUAGGCGUGUUGAUCGUGGUAAAAGUAUUGCCGCCAAAUCCAAAUUACCCUGCAAUGACAACGCAGAGACAGGAAGGUGGUAUAUUCGAAACAUUCAAUGGUUACAAGAACAACACUGUCGCUGUUGUUCCAAACUCAACAGAGACCUUGAUUUUUUUAAAUGCAAUGAAUACCCUAUGGUUAUCGAUGUGGGAUUAUCCUGGCAAGCUUCCCUUGAAUUUCAUGGUGUUUGAUACAAAGGAUGAUCUACAAGCAGCGUAUUGGAGAGAUCCAUACAGUGUACCCUUAGCAGUAAUCUUUGAAAAUUCUCAACCUAUAUCUCAGCAUCUUCUAUAUGAGAUAAGAACCAAUCCUUCAUACACAAAUCCGCCUUCACCGACUGAAUUGUAUUCCGCUCCAGUUACUUGUCGGAAAGACACAAGCCAUUGGAUGGGUGGAGUAUUGUCGAUAGAAACCGGUGGAUCAUGUCCUGUAAAUAGUUAUUUACACUCUGGUUUCUUAGCUCUGCAAAUGAUAAUGGAUACCACGAAAAUAAGACUAGACACGCAAAAUACCGAUAUAACCGUACCGAAUGUUAAACUCGAAAUGUUUCCUAAGGAAGCUUUCACUGCAGACUGGAUGCUGGCCUUUAGAGUUGUUAUACCUCUCUUUAUGGUUCUGGCUCUUUCACAAUUCGUCACUUACCUCCUGAUCCUGAUAGUCGGUGAAAAGGAGAAAAAGAUCAAGGAAGGAAUGAAGAUAAUGGGCCUACAAGAUUCUAUCUUUUGGUUGUCAUGGUUCAUUAUCUACAGCGUCUUUGUCUUGUUACUCUCUGCCGUUGGAGUGAUACUACUUUUUACACUACAAAUGUUCCAACAUACCCACUUUUUACCAAUAUUCCUUUUGGUAGUACUUUACAGCUUUUCCAUAAUCAUGUUUGCGUUCAUGAUAACACCUUUCUUUGAUAAGUCACGUACUGCUGGUGUACUUGGUAAUUUUUCAGUAACAAUAUUGAGCUUGAUGUAUUUCAUACAAGUUUUUGUAAAAGAUUCUAGUUCCAUUUCGUUCUGGGUGGUUUCUCUCCUCAGUCCAACAGGCGUUGCUUUAGCGAUGGAUAAGGCUCUCGUGUUAGAUUUACAAGGAGAGGGAGUCAAUUUUGACAAUCUUUGGUCUGGUCCAGGUAUACCUUUCGGAGGCAGUCUCAUUAUGAUGACACUGGAUAUUUUUCUAUACGCCUGUUUAGCGUAUUAUUUUGAUUCCGUCAUUCCAAGUGAAUAUGGAGUUAAAAGAACUCCCUGGUUUUGUUUUACACCCGGAUUUUGGUGUCAGAGAAAAGCUCCACGGACGUACUUACAGGUACCAUCAUCGAAUGGCGAAUCAAAUUCUUUCAUACCCGGUGAAGAGACAAACCGUGAUAUUGAACCAGUCGUACGCGAGAUGAAAGGCCGCGAAGCCAUUAGAAUAGUCGAUCUUUACAAGUCGUAUCAGAAAUGUCGUAAACCAGAGAUUAAAGCUGUGAAUGGCAUCAACUUAACAAUCUAUGAGGGGCAAAUUACAGCGAUACUCGGACACAACGGAGCUGGUAAAACGAGUUUGUUCAAUAUACUGACUGGCCUGACUGCACCUACUGCCGGCACUGCCUUGAUUUUCGGUUACGAUGUCAGAGAUUCCAAUGAUAUGCAAAUGAUACGAAGUAUGACUGGUGUUUGCCCACAACAUGAUAUUCUUUUCGAUCUUUUAACGCCUCGAGAACACCUCGAGUUCUUUGCUGCUGUCCGCGGUAUUCCUAAAUCAAUGAUCGAACAUGAGGUCAAAAAAACUUUGAAAGAUAUCGAUUUAACUGAACAUGCAGAUACUUUCGCAAAAUACUUAAGUGGUGGUCAGAAAAGAAAGUUGUCUGUAGGUAUCGCCAUUAUUGGAGAUCCAAAAAUUAUUAUCCUUGAUGAACCCACAGCGGGAGUAGAUCCUUACUCCAGAAGACAAAUGUGGUCCUUCUUACAAUCCAGGCGUCAUGGGAAAGUGAUUUUAUUAACGACCCAUUUCAUGGACGAGGCAGAUAUAUUAGCAGAUAGAAAAGCGGUUAUUAGCAAAGGAAGAUUAAGAUGUUGCGGUAGUUCUCUAUUCUUAAAAAACAAAUUCGGCAUUGGAUAUCACUUAACAUUAGUACUUGAAGGAAAUGCAAGAGAACACGCUAUUACCAGAUUAGUAAUGUCUCAUGUUUCAAAAGCGGAAAAGGCAAGACGUCAUGGUCGCGAACUAAGCUUCAUUUUACCUCACAAUUCCGUAGAAAGUUUUGCACCACUAUUCUCAGCUAUCGAACACGAAGUUAAGACUCGAUCUAGCAGAUUAGGUAUCAGCAGUUAUGGAGUCUCAAUGACUACUUUAGAAGAGGUAUUCUUGCAUUUGGAAAGAGACGAAGGUACAGAAUGCACGAUGGAUAAUUUGUCGAAGAAAAUGGUGCGUAAUCGUGCAUUGAGCAGGUCAUUAUCAUUACAAUCGAAAAGCACAUUUUAUCAGAGUCUACAGAAUGAAGGUGGUACUGUUCCAAAUGAUAAUCAAGCGAAAGGUGCAGGAGAUUUACCAGAUGGCGUUCAAAAUGAUAGAAACCCUCCUGUUCGCGGCCUUGGAUUAGACCCCAUAAAAAUUAGGCCUAAUUUCCUUCAAACCCUAUACGCUAUGCUUCGCCUAAGGAUACUCAGACUCAUUAGAAACAUUCAGUUACUGUAUUUCACUAUUGUUGCGCCUCUUUUUUUGAUAGUACUUGGCCUCUAUUUAAAUAGCAUUCAAACGGUUGAGGUCAAAAUGCAGUCUUUAAAAUUAGAUACCGAUACCUACGGCAAUGAGACCAAAAUUUUGUAUGCAAACAAUACCGAUCAUGACAUUUCAGAUUUAAUCGAUGGAAUUAGUCAGGAUGUAAAAUACAUUGAAGAAUACUAUGGAAACUUCGCAAACUUGUUGAAGAUUGCACCACAUAUAGCCGCUUUUAAUAUUACAGAGUUCAGUUUGCCCAAGAUUGAUUUAACUAUCGCUUAUAACGACACUAUGCAACAUUCCCUACCGAUCGUGAUAAACCUUUUAUCUAACACCUAUUACAGAAUGAUCUCAGAUAAAGAAAAUUCUAAGCCAAUCGAAGUGAAGUCGCAUCCUUUCCAACAAACAUCACAACCACAGGAAUUUAAUAUUGGUACAGCAAGUUCAGCUGUAUCAAUCGGAAUGAAUUUCGUCUUAUUACCAGUAACGUUAGUCGUAGACAUGGUGUAUGAUCGUGAAAUAAAAGCGAAAAAUCAACUUCGUGUCAAUGGUCUGUCGUUUUCUAUGUACUUCUUGACGUAUUUCAUUGUACUUGUCGGCCUGAUGACAUUCAUCUGUAUAUGUAUUCUUGGCAUUAUAUUUCUCUUCGAUGUGCCUUCGCUUCAAGAAGUACCAGCACUUAUUACUCUUAGCGGUCUUCUGAUGCUCUAUUGCCCAUCGUCUAUCCUAUUCACAACAUGUAUGAGUUAUAUUUUUGACAAGAUGGAUUCUGCUCAAAGUAUUUUGCCUAAUAUCGCAACAUUCUUUGGGCUUAUUCCGUUUAUACUAGUCACAAUUCUGGACAUGCUGGGCCUUAGUGGAACGGCGGCAUUCGUUUUACACGUAAUCUUUUCGUUACUGAACACCCUGUACGUACCGUAUGCUGCAGUAUAUUAUGUAGGAAGAGUUCAUUUGAUGUGCUCUAUAAAUGCUGCUUGUCAUCAUCUCACCAUGUCCGAUUAUUUAACUACGGAAAUUAUUUUAAUGGCCUUUGGCGUGCUUCUGCACUGCCCAAUGUGGUUCUUCGUGCUUCUGAUCUUAGACAUUAGAAAGAGCGGUGGCAAUGUCAGUGAUAUCUUCAAACACUUUCUGCGUAAUGGUGGUUCUGUUGGCGAAGAAAUCAUGGAAAACACGGAUAUCGGAGAACACGAAGACUCGGACGUUAAAGCUGAAAGACAAAAAGUCUUUAAUCUUAUUACUUCAUCGUCGGUUCAAGAACCACCUGUAGUUCUAGUACAGAACUUGAGAAAAGAAUAUCGACAAAGAGAUACCGGAUCAUGCAGUUGUUGCUCUAAACAAGAUGAAGAUGCCACUACUCAGAUACAACGAAAGGUUGCUGUAAGAAAUCUGUCUUUAGCGGUUGAACCGGGAGAAGUACUUGGCUUACUGGGUCAUAACGGUGCUGGUAAAACAACGACUAUGAAGAUUAUCAUAGCAGAAGAAGCAGCCACUCGAGGAAGAGUACAGAUCGGUGGUCAUAAUAUCAAUUCCAAUAUGGCAGAGGCUUUCAGACAAAUGGGAUAUUGCCCUCAACAUGAUGCUCAAUGGAAAAAUAUCACUGUCAGAGAGCAUUUGGAAUGCUAUGCUGCGAUUCGUGGUGUGCCAUGGGGAGAUGUCGAUAGUAUUGUGGAUUUAUAUCUCACUGGUCUUCAAAUUCAUGAACAUGCCAAUAAACAAACUCAAGAAUGUUCGGGUGGAACCAGGAGGAAACUCAGUUUUGCCAUGGCGAUGAUAGGUGGUCCGAAAGUUGUCCUAAUGGAUGAACCUAGUACAGGAAUGGAUCCUAGAUCAAAGCGAUUUUUAUGGGAUACCAUUCUUGCUAGUUUUCAGGGUGGUAGAGGAGCGAUUUUAACGACUCAUUCAAUGGAGGAAGCUGACGCUUUGUGUUCUAGAGUCGGUAUAAUGGUGAAAGGGGAACUGAGGUGUAUCGGUUCAACGCAACACUUGAAAAAUCUAUACGGUGCUGGAUACACCCUAGAAAUGAAACUUUUAGGGGGUGACUGCACACCUACGACACCUUCUGGUGAUAGGAUUACGAGUUUGAAAGAGUUCGUUUCUAGUCUUUUUCCAGAUGCAACUCUGGAGGAAAGUUUUGCUGACAGAUUAGUUUUCGCUGUUCCCCAACAUGCAGUUAACUCGCUGGCCGAGUGUUUCAUGCAGUUGGAAAAAGCCAAGCUUGAGUUGGACAUCGAAGAGUACAGCUUCAGCCAAACUACUUUGGAACAAGUUUUCCUUAAAUUUUCUCACUACGAUGAAUCUAACUCAGGAGAAUGAUGACUCGUAAAUAUGAGUGUGUUAAUUCCCAUAUGUUAUAUAGUGAAAUACUCAUGGAACUGCUCAAGUCGUGCAAGAAGUGUAAAGAAGUUAUUCUUAUGGAGAAAAGUGAUUUGUUUUCUAGUGUUUCCAGGUUAAUACUAUUGGAAAUCAUUAAGACAGAAUGAUUUCUGCAUUCUAAAUAUCAAAAAAAGAAAAACGUUAUAAUAGUUAUAUAAAAACCUCGUAUUGUUGUUUGAUGCAUACGUGGAAGAUAUAUGUCCUUGUUUUUGGUCUUGACGAUAAUUGUGAGUGGAAUAUUCGUAUUUUUACGAUAUACAUCGAUCGACCUAAUGCAAAGAGAAGAAAAACAAAAUUAAAUGAUAUUUUUUGUGCCGGUGUUCUGUCCGUUUAUGUUCAUCAGAAUUACAGUGGCGUCCUGAAGUGACUACGGUGAUGAGAUAAAUGAACUUGUGUGUAAAAUCAAUGAGCUGUAAAUAGUGGAAAAAUCGAACGAUAUGUCCGAUUGUCAACAGAAGCGGGAACUUGCAAACUUAUUCGUCAGCCAGAAACAAAACGAUAUCAAUCUUCAAAAGUUCGUAUGAAGGGGUACUCUCUAAAUAUAUCACAUAUAUGGAGAUCAUAUAGCGAGACUACGCUGUAUGUAUAUUUUAUAGCUGUCUUAUAUUGUGAUUAAAAGUUAUUUGCAUAAAACCAAUUUUGUACAAAUGUUUAAUUAUAAUAGUACAUUAAAAAAUAAUAAAACAUUGGAAAAGAAAGAUUGAACAAACGAUACACAAUGUUUUUCAUAAGCUUUAUUAUUUUCAUCAGGAUUUACUGAACACAAAAACUAAAUUUAUAUAAUGUUUAUACGAUUAAAAAUGUGUAGUUAUAUACAAAUUAAUUAAUUUCAAUUCCAUAUAAAACUUUAUAUAAACCAAUUGCUGCAUUUUACGUUAUACAAAGAAACGAAAAUUUUUAUUAUUACAUAAAUAACACUACUGUCAGAAAACUAUUAUAAUAACGUAUAUUUGUCCUCCAUUCGUAUUUACACAAAAAUCUUUUACGUAUACUUAUGCAUACACAUAUGUAUACGUAUACGUAGACACACGUGCAUAACGUACUAUAUGCUUUUUAUUGAAUAAACUUGCAUCUAAUAAAAGUGUUCGUGAUAUUUUGUGAAGUGCAAAAUGUAUCAAAAAUUUUCAAUUGCCCUUAACGAUAGCGAGUAUCUUUUAAUAAGGUAUAUAGAUGAUUUAUUUACUACUAACAAUUGUCGAUAAUAAUAUUAAUAAUAAUUAAGUCUGUAAAAGGACAUUAGGUCCCCCGCUUCAAAUAAAUAAAUUUACAAUAUCGAAUUUAUUGUAUUAUUGUUAUAUUGCAAUAAAUAUGUGUAUAUCAGACGGUUUACAAAAUUGCAAACAAAAUGUUAUUUAUAAAUAGUUCAUUUUCUAAUAGCCACGUUAACAAAUCAUUCUGACAAUGAAAAUUUGAUUUUAUAAUUUUAAUGAAGACAGUUUUCUAAAAGUCUGUUAAAAGUUCUAAUCAAUUUAAGAAUAAAUAUCUGUCAUGCAUAAUGAAAGUCCAUCAUUCAUUUUUUAUUGUAACAUUUUGCUUUUACAAUCAAAACUUCAUUUAUUUUAAAAUAUUUAUAGUUUGUGAAUAAUUACAAAAAAUAAUUUCAAAAAUGUGCUUUUAGAAAACUAUGCUCUCGUUACAGAAUUCAUAUUUACUACUUCUAUACAAGCAUAUUAUUGAAAACCCUUAAAUUCUUUACAGUUUCUAUAUUUUAGGUACAAAUUCCUUUAUGAUAAAUUUUUAUAAAUGCAGUGACAAACUUUUUUUUCAUUAUAACAACAGAUAAACCUAAUAAAACCUUGUUUAUUCAAAGUUUAUGAAAAUAUAAAAUUGUUUUCUUGAAUUUUAAAAGUUUAUCUUUUGUUUGAAGAAAUUGUUCACAUAACAUGUAUUUCAUUUUAUACAGUGAUAUCAAGUAUUAACAAGGUUUUAUUAUCCCUACUAACAUUUUAUUAUGGAAAGUAUCUAUUAUAUCGUAAAUUU
Molecule: unclassified non-coding RNA, 7995 nt
Filed under: Megachile rotundata (alfalfa leafcutting bee)
Lineage: Eukaryota; Metazoa; Arthropoda; Insecta; Hymenoptera; Megachilidae
Description: aTP-binding cassette sub-family A member 5-like, transcript variant X5
Source: RNAcentral